Molecule: long non-coding RNA, 948 nt
Organism: Thalassophryne amazonica
Lineage: Eukaryota; Metazoa; Chordata; Actinopteri; Batrachoidiformes; Batrachoididae
Exons: 2
Source: RefSeq, a predicted model, not a curated record
UAUAGUUAACUGAACUUGCUGAUCCAGACAACCAAUGAUUUAUAAAGGAAAAUCAUGGAAAUCAUCAGGGGUGACCAAACCUUUGCAUACAACUGUAUAUCUCAGCUUCUUGUAAUUACGAUUUAACAUCUUGUAAUUAGGACUUUAGCCCUUUUAUUUAUAUCUCAGCUUCUUGUAAUUACGACUUUGGUCCUUCUAAUUAUAUCUCAGCUUCUUGUAAUUAUAACUUAACAUCUUGUAAUUCUGAUUUUGGCCCUAUUUAUUCUAUCUCAGCUUCUUGUAAUUGGAACUUAACAUCUUGUAAUUCUGAUUUUGGCCCUAUUUAUUCUAUCUCAGCUUCUUGUAAUUGGAACUUAACAUCUUGUAAUUAGGAUUUAACAUCAUGUAAUUAGGACUUUAGCCCGUUUAAUUAUAUCUCAGCUUCUUGUAAUUAUAACUUAAGAUCUUGUCAUUGAGACUUAACAAAUCAUAAUUAUGAUUUGGAGGGGUGUAAUUAUGAGUUAAUACCUUAAAUUUAUGAGAAAUAUGGAGUGGGAAAGUAAGAUGAUGGGUAUUUUGUUUAUCUGGUGGGAACAUGCGUCCCUGCAGACGUUUCUUUCUGUUCCACGUCACAGUCUGAAUGUCAACGACAACAGUGUGGAAUUUUAAUUGGUGCAUUUCCCUUAAAUGAUAUUGAAAUAUGCAGUUUUUACAUUUCCCAGACUUCUUGUCCUAUGCAAUGUAAUACUAUUUUUUGUGCGUUUUGUGUGUUUGUUGACUGUGUAUGUAACCUGAUGUAUCAUUUGCGUGAGCUAAAUGACUCUAAGCCACCUGCUGAUCUCUGAUCUGUGGAAUAUUACACCAGCUGACCGUUUUUACUGUCCAACAGAAAAUCUGUAAAUGUUUUACACAUACAAAAAAAAAAAAUCUUAAUCCUAUGAACAAAAAUGACAAUCCUAUUUUUCAUCU